RNAcentral lists this ribosomal RNA (432 nucleotides) under uncultured bacterium. RNAcentral describes it as "partial 16S ribosomal RNA". It matches the Rfam family "Bacterial small subunit ribosomal RNA", at positions 29 to 507 of the family's 1533-position model. The record is from RNAcentral.
ACGAACGCUGGCGGCAUGCCUAACACAUGCAAGUCGAACGAGACCUUCGGGUCUAGUGGCGCACGGGUGCGUAACGCGUGGGAACCUGCCCUUAGGUUCGGAAUAACUCCCCGAAAGGGGUGCUAAUACCGGAUAAUGUCUUCGGACCAAAGAUUUAUCGCCUUUGGAUUGGGCCGCGUUGGAUUAGCUAGUUGGUAGGGUAAAAGCCUACCAAGGCGACGAUCCAUAGCUGGUCUGAGAGGAUGAUCAGCCACACUGGGACUGAGACACGGCCCAGACUCGUACGGGAGGCAGCAGUGGGGAAUAUUAGACAAUGGGCGAAAGCCUGAUCCAGCCAUGCCGCGUGAGUGAUGAAGGCCUUAGGGUUGUAAAGCUCUUUUACCCGGGAUGAUAAUGACAGUACCGGGAGAAUAAGCUCCGGCUAACUCCGUG